UCUAAUGUGAAAAGUGUUGCCCAGAGU
Molecule: non-coding RNA, 27 nt
Filed under: Bombyx mori (domestic silkworm)
Lineage: Eukaryota; Metazoa; Arthropoda; Insecta; Lepidoptera; Bombycidae
Source: RNAcentral